Non-coding RNA from Saimiri boliviensis boliviensis (Bolivian squirrel monkey), 681 nucleotides. Lineage: Eukaryota; Metazoa; Chordata; Mammalia; Primates; Cebidae. The record is from RefSeq and is a predicted model, not a curated record.
AGUUAGGGCUGGGAAACAGCCGAGGAGGGAUACAGUAGCUAGAAGUCAUCUUGCCUCUCUGUAACGUCUUCACUGCCUGGUAGUAACAUCGUUCUCAAAUUCUCAGCAGGUGAACCAAAUGAAAUGGUCAACUAAAAGCCAACCAGGAGAGCGUCUGGCUGUUUUGGGGAAACUAUUCCUGACCUUAUUUUACCUAAAAAGCUGCUUGCUAUACCAGCAAAAACAUCACCAUGAACCAGCUCGCCCAAACUUCUCCAUGGAUGAGAUUACCCGGAAGACAGGAGUUCCGAUGCUUGUCUUGCUCUGAAUGUCUGCUUGUCACCUGCUUAGGGUUAUCGACUGUGAUUCUGGGAAUCAUUGUUCUUGUUCAGGACCCUUCUGACUCUGUGGUUUUCUCUACUGGAUUAACAAUGAUAGCCAUAGGUGCUUUUUUUAUUGUCCUUACUGGACUGACAGCCCUGUGCAUAGUUAGAGUCGAUGAGAACUUGGAGCAAAUCACAAGGCUGAGACUAGGAGGGACACGCAGAAGCAGAAGUCCCCCAGGAACUACAGAGCUGUCCACUGUUCAGACAGUGAUGGCCAGCACCGCACUGUAGCUGUACGUUAAACCCUGGAAUCUUCCUCUUUGGAACUAAGUCUCCUGAGCAUUGUUUUUAAAUACAAAUAAAGUCUGGCUUUUAA